Molecule: ribosomal RNA, 500 nt
Filed under: uncultured bacterium
Lineage: Bacteria
Description: partial 16S ribosomal RNA
Rfam family: Bacterial small subunit ribosomal RNA
Source: RNAcentral
AUUGAACGCUGGCGGAAUGCUUUACACAUGCAAGUCGAACGGCAGCACGGACUUCGGUCUGGUGGCGAGUGGCGAACGGGUGAGUAAUGUAUCGGAACGUGCCCAGUCGUGGGGGAUAACGUAGUGAAAAUUACGCUAAUAACGCAUACGAUCUAUGGAUGAAAGCGGGGGAUCGCAGGACCUCGCCCGAUUGGAGCGGCCGAUAUCAGAUUAGGUAGUUGGUGGGGUAAAGGCCCACCAAGCCAACGAUCUGUAGCUGGUCUGAGAGGACGACCAGCCACACUGGAACUGAGACACGGUCCAGACUCCUACGGGAGGCAGCAGUGGGGAAUUUUGGACAAUGGGCGAAAGCCUGAUCCAGCCAUUCCGCGUGCAGGAUGAAGGCCCUCGGGUUGUAAACUGCUUUUGUACAGAACGAAAAGGUUUCUACUAAUACUAGGAGCUCAUGACGGUACUGUAAGAAUAAGCACCGGCUAACUACGUGCCAGCAGCCGCAGUAA